CGCACGGGUGAGUAACACGUAUCCAACCUGCCGUCUACUCUUGGACAGCCUUCUGAAAGGAAGAUUAAUACAAGAUGGCAUCAUGAGUCCGCAUGUUCACAUGAUUAAAGGUAUUCCGGUAGACGAUGGGGAUGCGUUCCAUUAGAUAGUAGGCGGGGUAACGGCCCACCUAGUCUUCGAUGGAUAGGGGUUCUGAGAGGAAGGUCCCCCACAUUGGAGCUGAGACACGGUCCAAACUCCUACGGAAGGCAGCAG
RNAcentral lists this ribosomal RNA (255 nucleotides) under uncultured bacterium. RNAcentral's name for it is "partial 16S ribosomal RNA". It matches the Rfam family "Bacterial small subunit ribosomal RNA", at positions 99 to 354 of the family's 1533-position model. The record is from RNAcentral.